Molecule: long non-coding RNA, 215 nt
Filed under: Elaeis guineensis (African oil palm)
Lineage: Eukaryota; Viridiplantae; Streptophyta; Magnoliopsida; Arecales; Arecaceae
Description: long non-coding RNA (EGUI_LNC004321)
Source: RNAcentral
ACACCAACUUUAAAAUUUAAAAUAAAAAAAAUUAAAUCUCAUUUCUCAGCUCCUGUAAUCGUAAAAUUUAUACAUUCUUCCGUCGCUUUCAAUCAAAUCUUAAAUAAAUAAAGAAAAAGAUCUCACCAUCAACCCUUUGCCUCGUAAUAUCAGACAACUACCUACAGGAAUGGCUUUACUUUUGUCACGUUACCUCCGCUUCCACUUCAGAGAUU